This is a long non-coding RNA of Amphiprion ocellaris (clown anemonefish), 613 nucleotides long. The record is from Ensembl. NCBI's taxonomy places the organism in Eukaryota, Metazoa, Chordata, Actinopteri, Pomacentridae.
UACCUUCGGCUGAUUCUACCAGCAGACACUGAAGGACUCUGAUAGUUCGAGUGAAAGCAGCAGUUCCUCCUUAAGGUCAGAGAUUGCAGCAUCUGAGGGCCUCUUCAAAAGAAGACGUAGUUGAUGAAGGCGUUCUGGAGCAGGACCAGAAAGACCACGACCAAGCAGCCUUGAGAUCUUAGGCAGCGUCUCCCUCAGCUUCAGCUCCAGAGACGGCAGGCGGGACGAGUCAACGGAGGCCGGGUGGACGAAGGCAUGCAGCUGAGUACAAUCCAGAAAACAACAGAGGAGGAGUGCAGUGGCCCAGAGCCAGAACAGAGUAGCAUCACCAAAGAACUACAGACUCUUCACAACCUGCUCAAACUCUUGGUACAGGACCUCACCACACGGGUCAAGAAGGUUUCUCUCUCAUUUCUACUCUGAAGCUCACCUUCUCCUGCUCAAACUGCUGACAAAUGUUUCUGCUGCUCUAAAGUCUGGUCUCCAGAACUUCCUAAAAACUCUCAAAGUCUCUUCUGCUGCAGGUUGCUUUGUAGAACUGUUCCAGAAAACCUCACUAAACCAAAUGGAGGGGCCUCAAGAUAGUCGUCCAAAUGAAACGGUACAAAAACCA